This 456-nucleotide ribosomal RNA is filed under the name uncultured bacterium. Its description in RNAcentral is "bacterial SSU rRNA". It matches the Rfam family "Bacterial small subunit ribosomal RNA", at positions 28 to 507 of the family's 1533-position model. The record is from RNAcentral.
GACGAACGCUGGCGGCGUGCUUAACACAUGCAAGUCGAACGGGAGUAUAAAGAAAGCUUGCUUUUGAUAUACUUUAGUGGCGGACGGGUGAGUAACGCGUGAGGAGCUGUCCUGUACAGGGGGACAACAGAUGGAAACGUCUGCUAAUACCCCAUAAGCCUUCGGGUAAAAGGAUCAAUCCGGCAGAGGAGGUACUCGCGUCCUAUCAGCUAGUAGGUGAGGUAACGGCUCACCUAGGCGAAGACGGGUAGCCGGCCUGAGAGGGCGAACGGCCACACUGGAACUGAGAUACGGUCCAGACUCCUACGGGAGGCAGCAGUGGGGAAUAUUGGGCAAUGGGGGAAACCCUGACCCAGCGACGCCGCGUGGGUGAAGAAAUCCUUCGGGAUGUAAAGCCCUGUUGUAUGGGAAGAGCGGAAGACGGUACCAUACGAGGAAGCCCCGGCAAACUACGUG